CCAGGACAUACUUUAUUCAGCUGGGUGCUGAAAAAGAAUCUUGGAAAUUAGGAAACUGAAUGAGGCCUCAUUUCACACUCAGAAUGUGGGUUGCAAUAGUCACUUCCUCUGCUGCUGGGAAAGAAAGAAUUAUACUACCUUUUGAAUUUUGGAUUAAGGAGAGAGGUGUUGGCUUGUCAAACUACCAUGUAUUCCUCAAGACAUAUUUUUGUGGCUUUAUAAAAUUCAAUAUAUAUGUCUAAAUUCAAAAAUAUUUUGUUGCAAUCUGGCCCUUGGACAAACUGAGGCCCUAGCAACUGAUGUUUAUGGCUUUCCGUAGAACCUUUCAGAUAAAAUUUACACAGCAUUUUACUGCAGCUAUUUCACACAAAGCAGAGGAUUUUGCCACAAAACUGAAAGAAAAAAGAAACUGCAUUCUUAAAUUUUUCAUAAAUCAAAAGGUAUAAAAAUAUCUACCUAAACGAUAAAGGAGAUGAGAAACCCCACCCAUGAUGGGAAGAAAGCCUAUUUCAGUUUUGCCUUUACUUCAAGUUCUUUUUUCCAUAUCUGGAAUGCAAUCAGAAUUUUAAUCUUGCCUUGGGUUCCUCCUGGAUUUGGGGAGAAGACAAAACCUGAAAAUCUCUAAUCUGCAUGUGUUCAGCUGCGUAUCUUCUGGAUACGGAAGGAUCACACUGCACAGAGUGCUGGACUUGCAGGAGCCCCGCUUCUCAACCUCCAUCGCUUUAUGAAUGAAUUCACCAGAAAGAAAAGGAAGAAUCAACACUUUCAGAGAUGGAGCCUGUUGAGCCACAGUACCAACUAGUCAAUGCUGAAUCGACUUCUCCCUUUCUACAUUGCCUGAGAGAAGUCAUUGGGGAAUACUCUGUACACGAAUUUUCACUGUUGGGGAAAACAGAGAGUCAAGGGAUUGGAUUGUGGAUUGCAUUGGUGGUUUUCCUCAGUUUCCUCAUCUUCUCCACAAGUUUCUACAUAUCGAAUGCAGAGCAGCCCUUCUUCAAAGGACCUCCUACGGAAGCUGCUAAGGAACUCAGUCUGUAGCUCUGCGUGGAGCCAUGUGUAAACACUGAACUGAGACCUGCCACCUCCUACUACCUAAGGGCCCAUUUUCAUCUGAUAUCAUCCCCCAGAAACAAACUCAUGAUGACUUCCAUGUUUUUUUUAGAUUAGAUACAUGGAGAAUUUUCCUUUCCCUUAGAAUUAAAAUCCUGCAUUCUAAUUUUCAGUAAGCUUUUUUAUUUCUGAAUAAUUUUAAAUUUAAAGAGAAGUUGCAAAGAUAGUAUAGAAUGUUCCCUUAUACCUGUUUUUAUUUAGAGUGAUGUUCCCAGGAGAAAUGAUAAUGCAGCAAUGGACAAGAACAGGAACAAGAGACAGUCUUACCAUCUUCUUACAAUUUAUAGAUGGGACAGUGGAAAGAGAAGCCACAUCGGGGUUGGGCAUGCAGAGACCUGGUCCUAAAUCUGUGUGACUUUUGCGAAAUCCUUUUGCCUCACAGAGCUCUAGGUUCUUAUCUGUCAAACAGGAACCAGACCAUCAGAUCCGUAGAGAUCCAACCAAUGAAGGAGACUUCGAAAACUUCACAUUGCCGUGUCAAUGUGAGGUUGCUGGAUGGUUAUGACAAGAAAUCACAUUAAAUUCACUGGGGUAACAUUGUUCAUGAAACGGGAUAAUGUGUUUCAGCGAUGAACCACCCAUGGCCUUACUACAGACAUAUUUCCACUUUGAAAAUGUGUGUGAGUGUACAUGUCUGUGUGUGAGGCAGAGAUUAGAAAGUGUAAAUGUGUGCGUUUUCAUUUUACACAUCUUACAUUUUCCUUUAAUUUGUUUGAAAGCCUGUUUUGUUUGUGGCUUCCAUUCCUGGAAGUCCCAUGAGUUGUUAGUGGUGAAGAUGGAACAGAUGUGUCCAACCCGGGGGACUCCUGCCCUCAGGGACUGAGCAGCUGCAAACCUCUCUCUCAUCUGAUUCCACUGUUUCUUCCACAUGUACACAUCAUGAGAAAUAUUGUUCAAUCAAUAUCUUCCCUUAAAUCAACUCAUAUGCUUAUUUACAUGAAUUUACCUAAAACAGAAACUUGAUAUCACUUCUGUAAAUGAAAAAAUUAAACUUUCUGGCUUUAAAUAAAGCAUAA
Molecule: long non-coding RNA, 2126 nt
Organism: Homo sapiens (human)
Lineage: Eukaryota; Metazoa; Chordata; Mammalia; Primates; Hominidae
Product: long intergenic non-protein coding RNA 943
Source: Ensembl